Molecule: long non-coding RNA, 920 nt
Organism: Carassius carassius (crucian carp)
Lineage: Eukaryota; Metazoa; Chordata; Actinopteri; Cypriniformes; Cyprinidae
Exons: 5
Source: RefSeq, a predicted model, not a curated record
GUUUGUGCGUCAAAAACAGCUUCAUCUCAACUCGUCAGUGCUUUACGGAGACAAAAUAACAGUAUUCUAGGUCGGAAUGACCUGGAUGAGGGUCAUUAUCAGAGAUGUCAUCAAGCGUGAGAGCAUUGGCCUCCUCGGACUCCACCGAGCCGUUCUUCGUCAACUGAGAACCAUAUGAAAGGUGAUCUCGGAGCAUGUCUCUGUGGAUUCUCUCCUGCUCCAUGGCGAACUCUCCCAGUGUGUACUGCCGCACGCAGCUGUGUCUGCUGGACAUGCCCAGGGAACUGCCACCCUGACUGGGCACGCUGGUGAAUCCCUGCCUCCGGCUGAAGUAAUACACUGUCACCUUCUCAAAGUGCACCCUCCUCGUCCUCAUCCGCUUCUCCCGCUUCAGUAUCGAGGACGCUAGAAAGACAUUAAAGCGUUUGAUACGAGUCUCACCUGUCCGCUGCAGUGCGUGUGUUGAUGAUGAGGAUGAAGGGUUGACGCUGUCGCUGCUGUCUCCGCUCUCAGUGCUGGAUAUCUCCUCCUCCUCAGACUCCCUGAGUGAGGAGCAGGGCGACGCCCCCUCCACCUCCUCAAACUUCCUCUUCAGAAUUCCACUCAUGGCUGCCGUCAGGCUGCGCCAGAGAGAGAGUGCAAGUAAAAAUCACAUUCAUUUUUUGACAUUUCAAAGACAUAUUGUGUAAAUCCAGUGAUAAGUGCAUUCGAAUGAUACAUGAUUUAGUCAGUGUGAUUUCGACUACAUUUCCAGAAAAUGUUGUAUACUUACAAUACUGGAAAGAAAUCCAACCAAUCAAGUCACUGUUACUAUAACAUUACACACCCAUAUGUGACUUUAUACUUCCAUAAACCAUGCAAAUUAUGUAAUUAAGUCUCCCCAAAUAGUUGUAUCUUGACCAAAUAUUGUCCUAUAUAUA